UCUCCGUAGGUGAACCUGCGGAGGGAUCAUUACAAGUGACCCCGGUCUUACCACCGGGAUGUUCAUAACCCUUUGUUGUCCGACCCUGUUGCCUCCGGGGCGACCCUGCCUUCGGGCGGGGGCUCCGGGUGGACACUUCAAACUCUUGCGUAACUUUGCAGUCUGAGUAAACUUAAUUAAUAAAUUAAAACUUUUAACAACGGAUCUCUUGGUUCUG
This 217-nucleotide unclassified non-coding RNA is filed under the name plant metagenome. RNAcentral describes it as "partial contains small subunit ribosomal RNA, internal transcribed spacer 1, and 5.8S ribosomal RNA". The record is from RNAcentral.